GAGAACUCUCCGCACGUCUUUUCACAGAAGUCACAUUCAUAUCUUCUAUGACAGAUGAGCCUCCGAGUCCAGCAGUGUUGCAUGAAGUUCCGUCAGGUACUUCUUUGACAUCAUAGUCUUCAGAUAGUUUCUCCCUAUGUGCUUCGCCACUGAAUUUGUCAGAGCAAUCAAUCUCAGCUUCUGCAUUGCUUCCAUUGCAGGGUACAGCAACGAGUUGAGAAAUAAAUUUCCUUGCAUCCAUAUUGUAUGGGAAAACUAGAUGAUCAACCUUGCUGAUUUCAGCAUUCGUUUUGAGAUAAUGAAUGCUAUCUGGAUUCAAAUCGUUUGCAUAAACCGCACAUCCUUUCUGUGCAGCGGGAAUAGCAAAAGGACCAAUGCCA
Molecule: unclassified non-coding RNA, 380 nt
Filed under: Hevea brasiliensis (rubber tree)
Lineage: Eukaryota; Viridiplantae; Streptophyta; Magnoliopsida; Malpighiales; Euphorbiaceae
Source: RNAcentral